GUUAUUGGUGGACACGCUUGGAGGCUUGACUUCGCUUCAAUCUGUCGAAUAAUAACAAGACAUUUUGAUAUCAUUCUGAAGACGAAGACCAGCAGUGAUAUUAAAUCUUCUAGUAUUGAAUACAUACAGUCAACAAUUCAAGGUACAAUGCAAAAUCUAUAGAUGAUUUAGAUUCAGUCAAGAUUAAAUGUGUUUUUAAUCAAAACAUAAUUUUAAAAACUCAAUAUCAGAAUUAGUAUUUAUUUUAUCAGUACAUUUAUUACUAUCACUGAUAAUACUAACAACUGGAACAAAGAUUGUCGUAGUUUUAUAUAUAUCUUAAUUCACAUAUAGUCUGAAGCAAAGAUGGCUUGUAUCAGUCUAUAUUUAUCCAGCCUAUAUAUAUAGAGAGAGAAUAGAAUAUAUAGUUUUAGAAUUGUUUCUUUGACAUUAAUUAUGCAAUGAUUAUUUUACUGAUGCAAUUGUCACCAGACAUACAUAUUUCAUGCCCUGGCAUUGAAUCAUGUGUAGUUUUGCCAAAACAAAAGACAAAACAAAUUCGAUAAUGAAUCGAUGUUUGUAAAAAGUGUACUGAAGGGACUCUAUAUUACAUAAUAAAAGUAAUUUUAAGUGAAAUACCCAGAAACAUGGUAUAUAUAGAGCCCAAUGGUAGGACUCCCAAUUGGCAAUGUAAAGCAGUCAAUAUAAUUUUCUGUAAGGUGGUAUUAUUAUAUAUAAAUAGCUAUAGUAAAGUGUAUUCUUUUUCUGGAUUGGUUAAUCCUAUUAUAAUCCUUUUUCUGGAUUGGUUAAGCUUAUAUAGUAUGCUAAAUUUUCUAUAACUAGCAUCCAUGUUGACCAUUCAUGCAAGCUAAGUAAUAGCAUGUUAACCGGCUAUAUAGUAAAUACCAAAUAUAUGCCUUUGCCAGCCGGUCAUGCAUGUAGAGUAAAAAUACCGCCGGAAACGAUAUUUUCCUUGACAUAUAUAUAUUAAACGAAAAUAUGGAUUAAAUGCUUUAAGGUGUUGCAGUAAACUGAGGCACCAAUAUUAUGAACUUGGUUUCCACUGGCUGUACAUGAGUCCAAUAAUGCAAUAUUUCGAAGUAUUAUUGUAUUAUAGAUAACGUUAAUGUAUAAAGUCGAGACCUAAUAUUUUGGAAUAUUAGGCAAAGAUGAAUCCAAUAUAGGUGUUUUAUGAAACAUAACAAUUUCAUGGCCAGAAAUCAUGGACAUGAUUUACUUUACUUCCUUCGUAAUUUGCAUAUCACGUUGAAAUAUGGCUUCUGCAGUAAACAGUAAAUUAUAUUACGCGAUGCUCUAAAUCCCCAAAUCAGAGAAUGUGGUAGGUCGCAGUUGCAACUUGCCUCAGUCGCUGGCUAUAUAAAUCAGAGUCUGUCGAAGUAUUUAGCGUAAUGUUGACUUGAAUGAUUUUAGUUAGUGAUCAUUCUGCAUUUUCAGUAUUUGUAUACAGCUAUUUCAAUUAAGAUGUCCACGAGCAAAGCGGAAAAGUCGAAUACGAGCGCGAAAGGCUGCUGGGAAUCGCUUUGAAAAUUCAUUAAUUUGUUAGCGAUUCCCAGCAGCCUUUCGCGCUCGUAUACGACCUUUCCGCUUUGCUCGUGGACAACCUUAAUUGAAAUAGCUGUAUACAAGGGUUAGUUUGUAUGGAAUUUGUCUAUUUAACUCUAUAUAUAUAGCCACUAAAAACAAACGAAAAUGCAGAAUAGGCAGUCGUAACUUACACCAGGCAAACACUACACGAUAUAUUUCAACAGACCGCGUGUUCUACAACCAGCAAUCGCGAGGCAAAUUGCAAACGACUACCAAUAUUCUCUGAUUUUUAGAUUUAAAGCAUCUCGUAAUAUAAUUUACUGUUUCCUAUCGAAGCCAUAUAUUUCAACGGGUUAUCAGUGUAUUAAUGAUAUGCAAAGUUAGUAUAAGGAUCGAAGUAGAAUAAUCAUGUCCGUGAUUUCUGACCAUGAAAUCAAAAUUGGAGUAUAAGCAAGUAUAAAAGAACCGCAUGGAUUACGAUAUAUAGCGGCAACAAUCAUGCCGUAUGACACCUCGGAUGUGUAUUUGCAUGCAUAUACCGCCGGUAUUUCCUCUUUUUAGCCUGCAGCCUCUCGGAGUUUAAUCCCCAAACACAUGAACUUCACGAAGACAGGAGUUUUCCCGCGCGUUAUAAUUUAACAAAAACCUGAUAGAAUAAACUCGUUACUUGACCUGAAUAAAAAACAACGGCUGAGAACGUUCGAUUAAGAAAGGAAAAAGCGGCGAUAAGCUACUGUCCAAUAUCUGUCCGAAAUCGAAAUAUCGGGAUCGACCGUCACUUCGGUAAUAAAACUCUAGAUUUGUUCAUGCAGUACGAUUCAUAUUGACUCUUAUGGAUCAGUGGUUCACUGUCCACUGACGGCCAUGCAUAUACAUGUAUUAAUAUAUUCGAGGGGUAAAUUACUCUGAAAAUCUUCGUACACUUCAUCAAAAAUCAAAAAAAAUCUUUGGAAAAAUCCCAAAAUCUUACUAAAUCCCAGAAUCCCAAGAAAUCUCUAAAAAUUGCAUAAAAUACUUGGAAAAAGCCCAAUAAAAUCCUCAAAAUUAUUGCAAUAUUGAGAAAUCGCAUAAAAAAAAUACGUGAAAAUACCCUUCGUUGAUUUACUUCAUUUUAAAAAUAAUUCGACGGAUUAUAUGUCGCAAAAAAUGUCGGAAAAAGUUCGGCGAAAAAAAAUUGCCGGGAUUUUCUAAUUCAAAAAUCUUCGUACGCUUUUUUCAGAGUAAUUUACCCCUCGAAUAUAUUCAUAGACCUUCAGGAAAAUUCCAGUUAGUUCUUGAACUGUACAUGCAGUGGUAAUGCGAGGACGAAUUCUGAACAAAAGUUUCAUGUGACAACUACAUUUCAAGAGGUAGCUAAUUCGUGCUUUAUGCUAUAAACCAUAGGCGUACGAGGCGGGGGGGGGGGGUAGCCCUCAGUUUAGUCAGAAAUACUCAUUAGUCGGGCAAUCUUCUUGUGUACCUGAAAUAACUUUGGUCAAAUAAAUAAAUGUUACAACAAGUAAAUGUUAUUAAUAGUAAAAAUGCGAAGUAUUUAAAAAUAUUCAAACUAGAAUGUAUGAUUGCAUAAAGGUGACAAAAUUAUGAUGUUUGUGAUGUUACUCUGAGUGUAUAUCCACACCGGGCAAGCUUGAAACUCCGCUCCGACUGAGCUACGCGGUCAGGUCGGUUCGAGCCGUACCUACCGUGGCCAGGCAUAUUUUUCAAGCUUGCCCGGUGUGGAUACUCAGAGUAACAUCACAAACAUCAUAUUCACCUGAGUACAAAACACCGGCAACACAGAAAAAAAAAUCACGAUUAUUAGGUUGCAUUGAUGUCGAAGGAACUAGACACAGUUCCGAAAUAUCACAUACUCGAACCAACCUGACCGCGUAUGGCAUUUUAGAGGUUCUACUUUUCAAAAUUUUCCCCCGGAACCCCCUAACUGUUCUCGCGCCUUCGCCGCGAUAUAUAUAUAUAUAUAUAUAUAUAUAUAUAUAUAUAUAUAUAUAUAUAUAUAUAUAUAUAUAUAUAUAUAUAUAUAUAUAUAUAUAUAUAUACUUUUUUUUUGCCCCACCCGGUAUAUAUACUUUUUUUUUGCCCCACCCGGUAUAUAUAACUACAGACGGUACCGUUUCGGCCUUAUGGGCCUCAUCAGUGUAGUGCUGAUGAGCAGGAUGAAAGUAACUGCUAUUUACAGUUACCUUUGAUGCCUCACGAUUGUGGGACAUCAAAACCAUGCCAUGCAGAGCGCUCAAACUGCAAGCAGUGAGCGUGCAUAUCUAUACAUACAUAUCUAUAUAUGGCAUAAAUGUUUAAUUAAUUAAUUAAAGGUUUUAUUUUCCACCUUAGAAAACUGAUAUCAGGAAAACAUGCAUCUGUCGUCAAGAAUAUAUCUGAUAGUUUUGGUUCUGGCAUUGAUUGCCAUUACAUGCUGUGCUGCUGACUGUUAUGCUAUCUGUGAAACUGACUACUCGGAAUGUUUAAAAACGUUUUGCGGAAUUGAAGUGAAUUGUUUGCAAAUUUGUGAAGACGAAAACAAAGCAUGUAAAGAGAGUUGUUGAACCUGGACAAUGCUAUAUUUUUGUUCUUAAUUCACUGAUAUAUGUUAAGCAAGACUAUGUUAUAUAUGUAUGUAAGGAUGUAUUACAAUGUUAUACAUUUCAGACAAAACAUAAUUAUAUUCUACAAUAUGAUUAUUCGCCAUUCGGUAAAACUAAUUAAUUAACUGGAUGAAAGUGUGUCGAGUGUCGACUUUUACUUACAACUGAUGUAUUAGAAAACUUUGAAUGUAAGAAACUAGCAUAAAAUUAAAAGCAUAAUAAUUCCUUGGUCUCCUCUUGUGCCUCUAGUAUAAACAUAACAAUUCGUACUAUAUUUUGACUUCGUUAUACUCAAUUAGCA
This 4404-nucleotide long non-coding RNA is filed under the name Paramuricea clavata. The record is from RNAcentral. Lineage: Eukaryota; Metazoa; Cnidaria; Anthozoa; Malacalcyonacea; Plexauridae.